AUUGAACGCUGGCGGCAGGCCUAACACAUGCAAGUCGAACGGUAACAGGAAGCAGCUUGCUGCUCUGCUGACGAGUGGCGGACGGGUGAGUAAUGUCUGGGAAACUGCCCGAUGGAGGGGGAUAACUACUGGAAACGGUAGCUAAUACCGCAUAACGUCGCAAGACCAAAGAGGGGGACCUUAGGGCCUCUUGCCAUCGGAUGUGCCCAGAUGGGAUUAGCUAGUAGGUGGGGUAACGGCUCACCUAGGCGACGAUCCCUAGCUGGUCUGAGAGGAUGACCAGCCACACUGGAACUGAGACACGGUCCAGACUCCUACGGGAGGCAGCAGUGGGGAAUAUUGCACAAUGGGCGCAAGCCUGAUGCAGCCAUGCCGCGUGUAUGAAGAAGGCCUUCGGGUUGUAAAGUACUUUCAGCGGGGAGGAAGGGAGUAAAGUUAAUACCUUUGCUCAUUGACGUUACCCGCAGAAGAAGCACCGGCUAACUCCGUG
This 490-nucleotide ribosomal RNA is filed under the name uncultured bacterium. RNAcentral's name for it is "partial 16S ribosomal RNA". It matches the Rfam family "Bacterial small subunit ribosomal RNA", at positions 30 to 507 of the family's 1533-position model. The record is from RNAcentral.